RNAcentral lists this ribosomal RNA (253 nucleotides) under uncultured bacterium. RNAcentral's name for it is "partial 16S ribosomal RNA". It matches the Rfam family "Bacterial small subunit ribosomal RNA", at positions 524 to 776 of the family's 1533-position model. The record is from RNAcentral.
UACGGAGGGUGCAAGCGUUGUCCGGAAUCAUUGGGCGUAAAGAGUUCGUAGGUGGUAUGUUAAGUCUGGUGUUAAAGCCCGAAGCUCAACUUCGGUUCGGCACUGGAUACUGGCAAACUUGAAUGUGGUAGAGGUAAAGGGAAUUCCUGGUGUAGCGGUGAAAUGCGUAGAUAUCAGGAGGAACAUCGGUGGCGUAAGCGCUUUACUGGGCCAUUAUUGACACUGAGGAACGAAAGCCGGGGUAGCAAAUGGG